This 253-nucleotide ribosomal RNA is filed under the name uncultured bacterium. RNAcentral's name for it is "partial 16S ribosomal RNA". It matches the Rfam family "Bacterial small subunit ribosomal RNA", at positions 524 to 776 of the family's 1533-position model. The record is from RNAcentral.
UACGGAGGGUGCAAGCGUUAUCCGGAUUCACUGGGUUUAAAGGGUGCGUAGGUGGCUUUGUAAGUCAGUGGUGAAAGCCCGGAGCUCAACUCCGGAACUGCCAUUGAUACUGCUUAGCUUGAAUCAGAUUGAGGUGGAUGGAAUAUUACAUGUAGCGGUGAAAUGCUUAGAUAUGUAAUAGAACACCGAUUGCGAAGGCAGUUCACUAAGUCUGUAUUGACACUGAGGCACGAAAGCGUGGGGAUCAAACAGG